RNAcentral lists this ribosomal RNA (301 nucleotides) under uncultured bacterium. RNAcentral describes it as "partial 16S ribosomal RNA". It matches the Rfam family "Bacterial small subunit ribosomal RNA", at positions 509 to 807 of the family's 1533-position model. The record is from RNAcentral.
CAGUAGCCGCGGUAAUACGAGGGGUGCAAGCGUUAUUCGGAUUGAUUGGGUGUAAAGGGUGUGCAGACGGCUUAUUAAGUCACUUGUUAAAUUCUUCGGCCUAACUGAAGGUCUGCAAGUGAUACUGAUGAGCUAGAGGGUGGAAGAGAGAAGUGGAAUUCUCGGAGUAGCGGUAAAAUGCGUAGAUCUCGAGAGGAACACCAAUGGCGAAGGCAGCUUCUUGGUCCAUUCCUGACGUUCAUACACGAAAGCGUGGGGAGCAAACAGGAUUAGAUACCCCCGUAGUCCCUGUCUCUUAUAC